AAUAGAUACCCCGGUAGUCCACGCCGUAAACGAUGAGUGCUAAGUGUUAGAGGGUUUCCGCCCUUUAGUGCUGAAGUUAACGCAUUGAGCACUCCGCCUGGGGAGUACGGCCGCAAGGCUGAAACUCAAAGGAAUUGACGGGGGCCCGCACAAGCGGUGGAGCAUGUGGUUUAAUUCGAAGCAACGCGAAGAACCUUACCAGGUCUUGACAUCCUCUGACAACCCUAGAGAUAGGGCUUCUCCUUCGGGAGCAGAGUGACAGGUGGUGCAUGGUUGUCGUCAGCUCGUGUCGUGAGAUGUUGGGUUAAGUCCCGCAACGAGCGCAACCCUUGAUCUUAGUUGCCAUCAUUAAGUUGGGCACUCUAAGGUGACUGCCGGUGACAAACCGGAGGAAGGUGGGGAUGAACGUCAAAUCAUCAUGCCCCUUAUGACCUGGGCUACACACGUGCUACAAUGGACGGUACAAAGAGCUGCAAGACCGCGAGGUGGAGCUAAUCUCAUAAAACCGUUCUCAGUUCGGA
Molecule: ribosomal RNA, 521 nt
Filed under: uncultured bacterium
Lineage: Bacteria
Description: bacterial SSU rRNA
Rfam family: Bacterial small subunit ribosomal RNA
Source: RNAcentral